RNAcentral lists this ribosomal RNA (253 nucleotides) under uncultured bacterium. RNAcentral's name for it is "partial 16S ribosomal RNA". It matches the Rfam family "Bacterial small subunit ribosomal RNA", at positions 524 to 776 of the family's 1533-position model. The record is from RNAcentral.
UACGGAGGGUGCAAGCGUUAUCCGGAUUCACUGGGUUUAAAGGGUGCGUAGGCGGGCAGGUAAGUCCGUGGUGAAAUCUCCAAGCUUAACUUGGAAACUGCCGUGGAUACUAUUUGUCUUGAAUAUAGUGGAGGUGAGCGGAAUAUGUCAUGUAGCGGUGAAAUACUUAGAUAUGACAUAGAACACCCAUUGCGAAGGCAGCUCGCUACACUAUUAUUGACGCUGAGGCACGAAAGCGUGGGGAUCAAACAGG